UUUUCGGAGAGUUUGAUCCUGGCUCAGGACGAACGCUGGCGGCGUGCCUAAUACAUGCAAGUCGAGCGGACAGAAGGGAGCUUGCUCCCGGAUGUUAGCGGCGGACGGGUGAGUAACACGUGGGUAACCUGCCUGUAAGACUGGGAUAACUCCGGGAAACCGGAGCUAAUACCGGAUAGUUCCUUGAACCGCAUGGUUCAAGGAUGAAAGACGGUUUCGGCUGUCACUUACAGAUGGACCCG
Molecule: ribosomal RNA, 242 nt
Filed under: Bacillus safensis
Lineage: Bacteria; Bacillati; Bacillota; Bacilli; Caryophanales; Bacillaceae
Also listed under: 1 other name
Description: partial 16S ribosomal RNA
Rfam family: Bacterial small subunit ribosomal RNA
Source: RNAcentral